Molecule: long non-coding RNA, 1909 nt
Organism: Frankliniella occidentalis (western flower thrips)
Lineage: Eukaryota; Metazoa; Arthropoda; Insecta; Thysanoptera; Thripidae
Exons: 2
Source: RefSeq, a predicted model, not a curated record
UUAGGGUGUGCAAUCAGGCUACGACAAGAAAUCAGGGAUUGGAGGGGUAGAAGGGGCUGGGAGGGGCCGGAGGUUGGAGAAGGAGAGGAGGGGAGGGCCACUCGGCCACACCAUGGCACUGGAGGGGGCUGGGGCGGGCCUGCGGGCUGGGGCCGGGCCUCCACGGGGACGCCGACGGGCUGCGGUGGUGCGGGGGAGGCCAGGGUCAGGGGAGGGGGCGACACAGGAGAGGGGUGAGGAGAGCAGGGGAACAAUCCAAAGAAGAUAUUUGAAACCAUGCGCAUUGAAGUAAGGGCAACCAGCCGACGAAGAGCGUGAUUGUGGUGUUCUGGCAUAGACGCGAACGUGCCGCGCGUUCCCGCGGCCACAGAGAGUGCCCCCGCCGCGACCGCGCGGCCGCGAGUCGAGCGCGGCACAAGUAUCCGCCAGAACCACCACCAGCAGCGCCCUACGUCGUCCCGUUCCCAGUGAAAAUUUCAUGAACAAAAUAUUAUUCUGAAAACACUCACCCGUCCUGUUACAUGCCUAUGUCCUACGGGGGUUACAAAGGCUGGGAACAAGGAGCGGUGCGUUCUGAUUGGUCGAGUGACGUCACGACUACCGACACAUGUCGACGUCUCGCUUAACAGUGAGCGACACUAGGAGAGGGGGAAUGAGAAAGGAUCAUCUGCACUAAACUGAGUAGUUAUUAAGAUGAGACAUUUAAAGCGUACUGGAGUUCAUUUUGGUGACUUUUACGUUAAUGCAGUGUUAUGGCGCAACAGCGAGAUACACUUUUUGAUGAUUUAUUUCGGCGUGUAUCUUUCACUUAAUGUGCCCAUCAUGUGAUGGCAAUCAUUAUCCUUGGAAAGGGGUCUUUGAUGAGUUCGCUAUUAAUACUGAAGACUAAAUAUUAAGCUGGCUCCACUGUUCGUGUGAACAGAUCCCAGCUUGGACUCUACAGUACCUGCGCCACCGCGCACCGCGUCUGCGCACAAUUUUAUCGUGCUUUUUACAACAAACCUGUGAUUGGUCAGCCCCUAUCUUCCCUUAUUUCGGUCUCUCUAGACGUUCUAUCUCUAACUCGCGCAUUCAGAUAAUGUUCCAGGAACGUCAUUAGAGCCAGAGAACAAAAAUAUUGGCCUCUCUUCUUUCAUUCGAGCAAGCAGACCAAGGGAACAGUGGUGUUGACGCGCCCGUUGCCGUUCCCCUGCCUUCCCCGCCAACCAAUCCCAGAGCAGCAGGGCCCCGGGAGGCGUGGCUUCCGUAAUCGUACUUGGAGCCGCUUUUAUCACCCACCCUCGUGCCGUGAAAAUAUCGGGGGCCCCGAAGCUCCUCCCUUUCCUUCCCCGUCGGUUUUUCUCCUACCCGAGGCACAAUUUCAGUGAAAAGCGUGUGUCGCGCCCUCGGCCGGGUAGGACUCUAGCGGGUGUCAGUGUUUAGCAGCCGCGUCGUCGCCGCGCGUAGGUCCCCGACGGACCGCCCUCGCCUCGGCCCCGUCUGUGCCCCGGGGCCCCGCGACCGUGCUUAACUUCGCGUUCGCAGUCCCCAACACCCUGGAACCUAGUGCGUUCUACUUGUGCCCAAGACCCCGAGCCCCGAGUGCUGCAACGCUGGAGGCGAUCAACGCUCUCUGCCUGCUGUACGUUGUCGUCGCGGGGGUGCCAUAACCUCCUCAAUCCGUGUCCACGGCACCGAGUCAGCGGUAUCCUGCCACUCAGUGCCGAUAGAGGCAGGACUCCGUCUGCGUCCGUUGCCUGAAGUUGUAGCUCACAUUUGUAGGUUCGUUGAAAAAUUUUCCGUCCCGUUGCUUCGUGUGAGCAAGGGGACGCUUGUUGUCUGCUAAAAGUUUGUUUGCUUCACUCCACCUCAGUGGAAGUGUAUCAUCGCAUUUGACUUUCUAUCAAUAAAAUACGAACUAAACAGUAAA